Molecule: ribosomal RNA, 2854 nt
Filed under: Staphylococcus aureus
Lineage: Bacteria; Bacillati; Bacillota; Bacilli; Caryophanales; Staphylococcaceae
Also listed under: 1 other name
Description: partial 23S ribosomal RNA
Rfam family: Bacterial large subunit ribosomal RNA
Source: RNAcentral
GAUAUGCUUUGGGGAGCUGUAAGUAAGCUUUGAUCCAGAGAUUUCCGAAUGGGGAAACCCAGCAUGAGUUAUGUCAUGUUAUCGAUAUGUGAAUACAUAGCAUAUCAGAAGGCACACCCGGAGAACUGAAACAUCUUAGUACCCGGAGGAAGAGAAAGAAAAUUCGAUUCCCUUAGUAGCGGCGAGCGAAACGGGAAGAGCCCAAACCAACAAGCUUGCUUGUUGGGGUUGUAGGACACUCUAUACGGAGUUACAAAGGACGACAUUAGACGAAUCAUCUGGAAAGAUGAAUCAAAGAAGGUAAUAAUCCUGUAGUCGAAAAUGUUGUCUCUCUUGAGUGGAUCCUGAGUACGACGGAGCACGUGAAAUUCCGUCGGAAUCUGGGAGGACCAUCUCCUAAGGCUAAAUACUCUCUAGUGACCGAUAGUGAACCAGUACCGUGAGGGAAAGGUGAAAAGCACCCCGGAAGGGGAGUGAAAUAGAACCUGAAACCGUGUGCUUACAAGUAGUCAGAGCCCGUUAAUGGGUGAUGGCGUGCCUUUUGUAGAAUGAACCGGCGAGUUACGAUUUGAUGCAAGGUUAAGCAGUAAAUGUGGAGCCGUAGCGAAAGCGAGUCUGAAUAGGGCGUUUAGUAUUUGGUCGUAGACCCGAAACCAGGUGAUCUACCCUUGGUCAGGUUGAAGUUCAGGUAACACUGAAUGGAGGACCGAACCGACUUACGUUGAAAAGUGAGCGGAUGAACUGAGGGUAGCGGAGAAAUUCCAAUCGAACCUGGAGAUAGCUGGUUCUCUCCGAAAUAGCUUUAGGGCUAGCCUCAAGUGAUGAUUAUUGGAGGUAGAGCACUGUUUGGACGAGGGGCCCCUCUCGGGUUACCGAAUUCAGACAAACUCCGAAUGCCAAUUAAUUUAACUUGGGAGUCAGAACAUGGGUGAUAAGGUCCGUGUUCGAAAGGGAAACAGCCCAGACCACCAGCUAAGGUCCCAAAAUAUAUGUUAAGUGGAAAAGGAUGUGGCGUUGCCCAGACAACUAGGAUGUUGGCUUAGAAGCAGCCAUCAUUUAAAGAGUGCGUAAUAGCUCACUAGUCGAGUGACACUGCGCCGAAAAUGUACCGGGGCUAAACAUAUUACCGAAGCUGUGGAUUGUCCUUUGGACAAUGGUAGGAGAGCGUUCUAAGGGCGUUGAAGCAUGAUCGUAAGGACAUGUGGAGCGCUUAGAAGUGAGAAUGCCGGUGUGAGUAGCGAAAGACGGGUGAGAAUCCCGUCCACCGAUUGACUAAGGUUUCCAGAGGAAGGCUCGUCCGCUCUGGGUUAGUCGGGUCCUAAGCUGAGGCCGACAGGCGUAGGCGAUGGAUAACAGGUUGAUAUUCCUGUACCACCUAUAAUCGUUUUAAUCGAUGGGGGGACGCAGUAGGAUAGGCGAAGCGUGCGAUUGGAUUGCACGUCUAAGCAGUAAGGCUGAGUAUUAGGCAAAUCCGGUACUCGUUAAGGCUGAGCUGUGAUGGGGAGAAGACAUUGUGUCUUCGAGUCGUUGAUUUCACACUGCCGAGAAAAGCCUCUAGAUAGAAAAUAGGUGCCCGUACCGCAAACCGACACAGGUAGUCAAGAUGAGAAUUCUAAGGUGAGCGAGCGAACUCUCGUUAAGGAACUCGGCAAAAUGACCCCGUAACUUCGGGAGAAGGGGUGCUCUUUAGGGUUAACGCCCAGAAGAGCCGCAGUGAAUAGGCCCAAGCGACUGUUUAUCAAAAACACAGGUCUCUGCUAAACCGUAAGGUGAUGUAUAGGGGCUGACGCCUGCCCGGUGCUGGAAGGUUAAGAGGAGUGGUUAGCUUCUGCGAAGCUACGAAUCGAAGCCCCAGUAAACGGCGGCCGUAACUAUAACGGUCCUAAGGUAGCGAAAUUCCUUGUCGGGUAAGUUCCGACCCGCACGAAAGGCGUAACGAUUUGGGCACUGUCUCAACGAGAGACUCGGUGAAAUCAUAGUACCUGUGAAGAUGCAGGUUACCCGCGACAGGACGGAAAGACCCCGUGGAGCUUUACUGUAGCCUGAUAUUGAAAUUCGGCACAGCUUGUACAGGAUAGGUAGGAGCCUUUGAAACGUGAGCGCUAGCUUACGUGGAGGCGCUGGUGGGAUACUACCCUAGCUGUGUUGGCUUUCUAACCCGCACCACUUAUCGUGGUGGGAGACAGUGUCAGGCGGGCAGUUUGACUGGGGCGGUCGCCUCCUAAAAGGUAACGGAGGCGCUCAAAGGUUCCCUCAGAAUGGUUGGAAAUCAUUCAUAGAGUGUAAAGGCAUAAGGGAGCUUGACUGCGAGACCUACAAGUCGAGCAGGGUCGAAAGACGGACUUAGUGAUCCGGUGGUUCCGCAUGGAAGGGCCAUCGCUCAACGGAUAAAAGCUACCCCGGGGAUAACAGGCUUAUCUCCCCCAAGAGUUCACAUCGACGGGGAGGUUUGGCACCUCGAUGUCGGCUCAUCGCAUCCUGGGGCUGUAGUCGGUCCCAAGGGUUGGGCUGUUCGCCCAUUAAAGCGGUACGCGAGCUGGGUUCAGAACGUCGUGAGACAGUUCGGUCCCUAUCCGUCGUGGGCGUAGGAAAUUUGAGAGGAGCUGUCCUUAGUACGAGAGGACCGGGAUGGACAUACCUCUGGUGUACCAGUUGUCGUGCCAACGGCAUAGCUGGGUAGCUAUGUGUGGACGGGAUAAGUGCUGAAAGCAUCUAAGCAUGAAGCCCCCCUCAAGAUGAGAUUUCCCAACUUCGGUUAUAAGAUCCCUCAAAGAUGAUGAGGUUAAUAGGUUCGAGGUGGAAGCAUGGUGACAUGUGGAGCUGACGAAUACUAAUCGAUCGAAGACUUAAUCAA